AAAAAACAGAAAGUUCACGAGUCAACCAUAGUGUUAAUUGAUUUGAGAAGAAGAAGGAAUAGAAGUAGAAAACAGAAGCAGAAAAAAGCAAAAAGGAUUGAAAAACGAAUUUACUAUGAAAUUUGGAGCCGUUUGAGAAAUUUGCAGGUUGCCAGAAUUUGGGAAUACCUUGCAGGAAAACACAUCCCUCACCAGAAUGUUCACCGGAUUCUGGAAAAUCCAAAAUCCCGAUUAGGACGUUGCAGGAGGAACAAGAAAAGAUAUUGGAGGAGGUGCGGAAGGAGCGAGAGAGGUUGACCGAGAGAAGUGUAUCUGCGAUUUGAUUGAGACAUGUCCAAUUGUAUGUUAUUGUUAUUGUUUGUGGAUUUUAACUUUUAUAUUGUAUUUGGUUUUCUUUAUGAUGUAGAAACUGAAAUCAAAUGGUGUACUCAACCACCCGAAUCCAUAUCAGUUGCACAUGCCUGGGAAAGUAGUUAAGAGAGUUUUUAUGGGUGGUACAAGCACGAAAGAUAGUUUCUGCUGUCUCCGUUCACAAUAUUAAGACCACAACACCUCAACUAGAUAACACUGAAAGAUUAUCUAGUAUGAUAGACAAGAUUCCAGAAUUCUCUUCGUUUGAAUUAAAAACAUGAACCAAAACAUACUUUAUGCUUUAUAAGAGUUAUAUUUUGGAAUUAUUGAAGCGAAAUGAUUGGUUGUAAAUGCCCGUAAUAUAAAUGUGGUGCUGGGUCCUGCAUGAGACAUGUGUUGAAAGGAAAUUGAAAAUGUAUUAUUUCAUAGAUCUAUUAAACGUUCAAUUUCAAGGCAAUUCAGCAAAAAGUAUCCAUAUGCAAAUACAAAACAAGUUCGUUAAGAAGAAUAAAGAAUGUUACAUGUCACUGUUUAUCCAUAAUGUAUUCGAAGUGUUUCUCAAGGGUAGCUACCAAAAUACGGCAAAUAUGUCUCUCAUGUCCCCAAUCAACCCAAUGGUGGAGAUUGAAGAUCACUAUGAUCUAUGGAAAAAAAAUUUAUCUCCUCAUAUAACUUUUUCUACUAAAAUGAAACUAUGGAAAAAAAAUUAUCUUCUCAAAGGUGACAAAGAUCCCUCACGCGGAUCCAACACAUGAUUGCCUUAAAGGGCAGCCAUGAUCCUCUUGGGGUCUAGUGUUUUGGUCGCCUAUAAGGUUGGUAAGGAUCCUUCUUGAAGAUCCAGAGUUUUUAUUUCCUCUAAGGGUGAAAAUGAUCCAUCUUGGGGAUCUAUAAUUUUGCUUGCCUAUAAGGGAAGUAAGGACCCAUCUUUGGGAUCCAUCGUGUUGAUCGCCUCUAAGAGCGGAAAAGAUCCCUCUUGAGGAUCCAAUAUUUUUAUUUCCUUUAAGGAUGGAAAGGAUUCCUCUUGGUGACUCAUCAUUUUGCUUGCCUCCAAGGGAGGCAAGGAUCACUCUUCGAGAUCCAACGUUUUGAACACCUAUAAAGACGACAAGGAUUUUUCUUAGGGAUCCAACAUUCUGAUUUCCCAUACGAGCGAGAAAGAUCUUUCUUAAGGAUCUAUCAUUUGAUCGUCUCUAAGAGAGGCAAAGACCCCUCCUGGGAAUCCAACAUUUUGAUUAUCUUUAUAGGCGACACAAAUCUGUCUUGGGGAUUCAACAUUUUGAUUGCCUCUAAGAGAGGCAAUGGUUCCUCUUAAGGAUCCAACAUUUGAUCGCCUCUAAGAGUGAAAAUGACCCCUCUUGAGGAACCAUCAUUUUGAUCGCCUCUAAGGGUGGUCUUCUUAAGAAUAAUAGAAGAAGAAGCCUCAUUAAAAACCCUCGCCUAAUACAAGGUUGUUUUAUUGACGUGACCACUAAGAUAAGUAUGUCUAUCAUGCCCCCGAUCAAACCAAUGAUGGAGAUUGAAGAUAACCAUGACAUGUGAUUACAAUGCUGUACUUUUUCUACGAAAGUGAAACUAUGGGGAAAUUUGUAAUUGGUUCACAUUGAUUUAGUUUGUAUUAUAAAUAUUAUAGGAAUAUAUAAUCUUAUAUAUUUUUUGGUAAAUAUUUUUUUUAUGAAUAAUAAAUAUACCAUUUUAUUUUAAUAAAUUUUUAAAAAAUAUAAAACAUAUAAUAUUUUUAUCCCAAAUAUUAAAAGCAU
Lathyrus oleraceus (garden pea) is the source of this 2108-nucleotide long non-coding RNA. RefSeq lists it as uncharacterized. The transcript has 4 exons. The record is from RefSeq and is a predicted model, not a curated record. NCBI's taxonomy places the organism in Eukaryota, Viridiplantae, Streptophyta, Magnoliopsida, Fabales, Fabaceae.